GCAGUCGUGGCCGAGUGGUUAAGGCGUCUGACUCGAAAUUAGAUUCCUUCUGGGAGCGUAGGUUCGAAUCCAACCGGCUGCG
Molecule: transfer RNA, 82 nt
Filed under: Manduca sexta (tobacco hornworm)
Lineage: Eukaryota; Metazoa; Arthropoda; Insecta; Lepidoptera; Sphingidae
Description: tRNA-Ser
Rfam family: tRNA
About the family: Transfer RNA (tRNA) molecules are approximately 80 nucleotides in length. Their secondary structure includes four short double-helical elements and three loops (D, anti-codon, and T loops).
Source: Rfam by way of RNAcentral